AUUGAACGCUGGCGGCAGGCCUAACACAUGCAAGUCGAGCGGUAGAGAGAAGAUUGCUUCUCUUGAGAGCGGCGGACGGGUGAGUAAUGCCUAGGAAUCUGCCUGGUAGGGGGGGAUAAAGUUCGGAAACGGACGCUAAUACCGCAUACGUCCUACGGGAGAAAGCAGGGGACCUGGGUGCCUUGCGGUAUCAGAUGAGCAUAGGUCGGAUUAGCUAGUUGUGGAGUUAAUGGCUCACCAAGGCGACGAUCCGUAGCUGGUCUGAGAGGAUGAUCAGUCACACUGGAACUGAGACACGGUCCAGACUCCUACGGGAGGCAGCAGUGGGGAAUAUUGGACAAUGGGCGAAAGCCUGAUCCAGCCAUGCCGCGUGUGUGAAGAAGGUCUUCGGAUUGUAAAGCACUUUAAGUUGGGAGGAAGGGUUGUAGAUUAAUACUCUGCAAUUUUGACGUUACCGACAGAAUAAGCACCGGCUAACUCUGUGCCAGCCGCCGCCGUAA
Molecule: ribosomal RNA, 500 nt
Filed under: uncultured bacterium
Lineage: Bacteria
Description: partial 16S ribosomal RNA
Rfam family: Bacterial small subunit ribosomal RNA
Source: RNAcentral